Molecule: long non-coding RNA, 422 nt
Organism: Vicia villosa (hairy vetch)
Lineage: Eukaryota; Viridiplantae; Streptophyta; Magnoliopsida; Fabales; Fabaceae
Exons: 2
Source: RefSeq, a predicted model, not a curated record
CUCAUCAAUUCGCUUUACAGUAACAAAGAUAUCUUCCUUAGGGAGCUUAUUUCAAAUGCUUCUGAUGCAUUGGACAACAUUAGGUUCCUUUCUCUAACUGUUAAAGAGAUUUUGGGUGAAGGUGACAGCGCCAAGCUUGAAAUCCAGGUUAGUUUAGCUAAAUAUUUAUUUAUAAGCUUCUAUCUAUUUUAGUAAUUAUUUCUCUAUAGUUUAUUUCUUUGUAAAUUAUGACGGCGAUUUGUGAAAUAUGUUUUAGUGCUGUUUUUGUAGUUUAUUUAGUGAAACUAAAUUCUAUUAUGUACUGCAACAGAUUAAGUUAGAUAAGGAAAAGAAAAUUCUAUCUAUUAGAGACAGAGGUAUUGGUAUGACAAAGGAGGAUUUGAUAAAGAAUUUGGGGACCAUAGCUAAAUCUGGAACUUCUG